RNAcentral lists this ribosomal RNA (670 nucleotides) under bacterium IBRC-M GA5. RNAcentral describes it as "bacterial SSU rRNA". It matches the Rfam family "Bacterial small subunit ribosomal RNA", at positions 57 to 709 of the family's 1533-position model. The record is from RNAcentral.
GCAGUCGAGCGAACUGAUUAGAAGCUUGCUUCUAUGACGUUAGCGGCGGACGGGUGAGUAACACGUGGGCAACCUGCCUGUAAGACUGGGAUAACUUCGGGAAACCGAAGCUAAUACCGGAUAGGAUCUUCUCCUUCAUGGGAGAUGAUUGAAAGAUGGUUUCGGCUAUCACUUACAGAUGGGCCCGCGGUGCAUUAGCUAGUUGGUGAGGUAACGGCUCACCAAGGCAACGAUGCAUAGCCGACCUGAGAGGGUGAUCGGCCACACUGGGACUGAGACACGGCCCAGACUCCUACGGGAGGCAGCAGUAGGGAAUCUUCCGCAAUGGACGAAAGUCUGACGGAGCAACGCCGCGUGAGUGAUGAAGGCUUUCGGGUCGUAAAACUCUGUUGUUAGGGAAGAACAAGUACGAGAGUAACUGCUCGUACCUUGACGGUACCUAACCAGAAAGCCACGGCUAACUACGUGCCAGCAGCCGCGGUAAUACGUAGGUGGCAAGCGUUAUCCGGAAUUAUUGGGCGUAAAGCGCGCGCAGGCGGUUUCUUAAGUCUGAUGUGAAAGCCCACGGCUCAACCGUGGAGGGUCAUUGGAAACUGGGGAACUUGAGUGCAGAAGAGAAAAGCGGAAUUCCACGUGUAGCGGUGAAAUGCGUAGAGAUGUGGAGGAACAC